Molecule: ribosomal RNA, 360 nt
Filed under: Triticum aestivum (bread wheat)
Lineage: Eukaryota; Viridiplantae; Streptophyta; Magnoliopsida; Poales; Poaceae
Description: partial small subunit ribosomal RNA
Source: RNAcentral
AUGCCAUGGAUCCGUACGGGAAGCCGCGCUCUGGCCUUCCUCGUCGUCACCGGCGACCCCCGCCUCGCCACCCGUCUCCGGAUCAGCCUCCCCAGCCCCCGUCGUGCACGUAUUCGGCCCCUGCAAGCUUCAGCCAUCGCCGACGCUCUGCAUCAAGCAACCCCAAAACGAGAGCAACGCAAGCGGGAGAAAAAUGACGGGCUGCUAAUGACAAAAAUGAUGGACCAAUUGAGAGUAGGAUUCUUCGGGACGCCGAAAUAUUGUGCAUCAUAUGAGCUGUGGUAUUAUUUGAAUCUUGGUGCAAAAAUUCAGACCAAUGUAUUCUACCUACUGUUGCUUCUCAGCUUCAACAUCAUUUGA